Molecule: unclassified non-coding RNA, 329 nt
Filed under: soil metagenome
Description: partial contains 5.8S ribosomal RNA, internal transcribed spacer 2, and large subunit ribosomal RNA
Rfam family: 5.8S ribosomal RNA (bases 1-120)
Source: RNAcentral
GAUGAAGAACGCAGCGAAAUGCGAUACGUAAUGUGAAUUGCAGAAUUCAGUGAAUCAUCGAAUCUUUGAACGCACAUUGCGCCCUCUGGUAUUCCGGGGGGCAUGCCUGUUCGAGCGUCAUUAUAACCACUCAAGCUCUCGCUUGGUAUUGGGGUUCGCGGUUCCGCGGCCCCUAAAAUCAGUGGCGGUGCCUGUCGGCUCUACGCGUAGUAAUACUCCUCGCGAUUGAGUCCGGUAGGUCUACUUGCCAGCAACCCCCAAUUUUUACAGGUUGACCUCGGAUCAGGUAGGGAUACCCGCUGAACUUAAGCAUAUAAAUAAGCGGAGGA